GUCUGAUGGUGCUUUCUUCUGGUAACCCUUCCAAAGUGCCUGUGGAGUCUGAUGGUGCUUUCUUCUGCAACCCUUCCAAAGAGCCUGUGGUUGUGGAGGUGGCGUCUGAUGGUGCUUUCUUCUGGUAACCCUUCCAAAGAGCCUGUGGUUGUGGAGGUGGCGUCUGAUGGUGCUUUCUUCUGGUAACCCUUCCAAAGAGCCUGUGGUUGUGGAGGUGGAGUCUGACGGUGCUUUUUGAAACCUGGUGACCCCAAGAUGCCACCAAGGCCUGCACUUCUUUGACCGUUAUUAUUGGGGAUUUGUUUGCUUCUCUCCCCAUCCUCCUCCAUAUCCCCAGGGGGGGAAAAAUGCAUUUGCAUCCUCUAACCGUGAGGUUUAACUGUUCCAUAUCUUUAGAGGUUGUUUUAUAAUUGCCCUGACAGUGCUCAGUGAUAUAUGAAGGUCUUUGACCAGCUGUCUCUUUUGAACUGACAGUUAUUUUGUUGACAGCGGGAUAUUGCAUGCGUGUUUCCUCAUGUUUAUACCCUAGUGAAACAGGAAGUGAUGUAAUGGCUCAAUAUAGUUAUUUAAGACUUAGGUACGCGUAAA
Molecule: long non-coding RNA, 588 nt
Organism: Oncorhynchus tshawytscha (Chinook salmon)
Lineage: Eukaryota; Metazoa; Chordata; Actinopteri; Salmoniformes; Salmonidae
Source: Ensembl